CCAAAACAUUUGUCUUCUGCCAUCUUUUGUCUCUAUUAGUUGUCGUUUAUUAUCACACCACACAACAAGAAUAUAAAAAUUACAGCUGAAGUGAAUUUGUUGCGAAGGAAAAACCUAGCUAGCCAGAGAGAUUAUGUGAAUCUGAUGUGUCUCCCAAAAUCUGUGCAUGAAACAGCUUUAUGGCUGCGAGCCUGCAAUUAGAGGGCGUCCAAUGGCAAUGGCAUGCAUCAUUUUGGUUCA
Molecule: unclassified non-coding RNA, 240 nt
Filed under: Hevea brasiliensis (rubber tree)
Lineage: Eukaryota; Viridiplantae; Streptophyta; Magnoliopsida; Malpighiales; Euphorbiaceae
Source: RNAcentral